UGUAAACAACCUUUAUACUUAUACUUACCUGUCUCUUCUAGUUGUGGUGGGCACAACUGCUUUGGUACUCUAGCAUAGCCUCCAACCCAUUCAUCCUCCUGCCACUGGUGCCCAUCUAUCAACAGUGCUUCAAUGUAAUCAACCCUUGGAUCAUCAACUUCAUCAUCCCAUGAAAGAGAUGGAGGACAAACAUUAUCAGCUGGUUUCACAAUAUAGUUGACCUCAACCUACACAAAUAAGUAUGUUAACCAUAGAUAAUGUACAUUUACUUAUUAUGUACGUACAUACACAAUUUAACACACCUCAUCAGCAGCCUCACACUCCAAAAUGCGAGAUGUCCGGAUUGCUCGCCGAGAGGCAAGACGAUGGAUAGACCUCUCAGCAAAUGUCCUGUUAGGUACAUCAUCAGGUCCUAGCUUAGCAAUUGAUGGGAUUGUUUCGAAAGCUAAAAGCUGGAGAGCUAAUGGGAAGCCAUGGAGUGCAUAAGACCCUACAAGUAAACCCCUUAUUAGUUGUUGAGCAUCGUAAGGAGUUUGGAAAUUUGCUAUCCUCCCCAAAGUACGGGUAAAGGACACCCUUCCCCAUGGGUAUUUGCAGAAGAACUCCAGGUUCUUAGUCAUCUCGACAGUCUUCGAAGUAGGCCUGUUGGGGUUACUGUGGGCCGCUACCACACCGUCAACCAAAAUAAUAAGAGAUAGUGCCAGUUGCUUCCACCCCUCCAUGCUUUCCUCCUCCUGCAGCCAGCUCACCAAAUCAGCAAUUGUUGGAACCGUGUCCCCAAACCUCUCAUCAAACAGAGUCUUCCAAACACUCUCACACUCAGGUUUCACACUGAUAACAUCAUCAACGUCUUUCUUCUUGGGAUACUUCCCACAUUCCAGCCCACUUAGGAUACUAAAUUCUCUUAAUCCAAAUCUGAUUGGAUGACCGCCGAAUACAAUCCACAUCUCAUUCACCUUCUUUGUCACUAACUGACGGCAUAUUAGUCCAAGGACAAGCUUAGCAUUGAAAGAUGCCUUGUUUUUGGGUAUUUUAAAAAGUUCCCCAAAUGGAGAAUCGAGAAGAAACUGCAUCUCUGGUUUCCCCUUUAGUACAUUUGCUAUGUCAGAAAUGUACUCCGGUUUAGAGUACGCGUUCAUCUUUGUCUCGGAAGGGUACCGGUCUAGAGCAAAGAGUCUUGGUGGUAACUCUUCAACUGUAAGAUCUUCAGUCGGAGCAACACUUGGACUACCUGCAAUUAAAAGUCAUAUACUGUUAAGCAAACCGAAGUAGUGUACGUACACAGACAUUUUCCAGAUUAUAACUCAAAAUCAUAUUUUUGGCGGAAACAGAGAUUUCCAAUUCUACUUCUCAAUUUUUCAUCCUAAAGAUAUGCUAAAUUCCGACAAAUUCUAACCCUUUAAUCAAACAAGCUUUACAAUUCUGAUACACCCAAAGACAACAAACGGUAAAUUAGAGAUUCUAACCCAGUUCCUCCGUUGCCUUUGUCGAAGAGCGUUUUCUCCGCGGGGAAACUCUUAAUACCCGCUUCUCCUUCCCUGGACCAUGCUGCUUCCUCGGGACUUCGUCGUUAGCUUUAUUCCCAGCCAUAGCUAAAGAUGCUAUCUCGCUGGAGGUUCAAAUUUUGCCGGAAUAAACAGUAACUUUCUCUUGGCUUCGCCGGGAAAAACAGUAACUUUCACUUCCCCGGAUGUGGGAGUUCAGUGGCUCAAUUCAACUACCCAACAAUUUGAAGUUAUGUCGAAUUUUGAAGCAAUGGAUACUGAAUUUCGUUUCGCUUUCUGAUUCUCUCGCAAAUCUCUCCGUUACUCUCUUCUCUUUUUCGUUUUCUCGGGUUUCUUCGUUUCAGUUUUUUUUUUUU
This 1861-nucleotide small RNA is filed under the name Arabidopsis thaliana (thale cress). Its description in RNAcentral is "ATSL169950". The record is from RNAcentral. Lineage: Eukaryota; Viridiplantae; Streptophyta; Magnoliopsida; Brassicales; Brassicaceae.